AUACUUUUUACAAUAUAACGUUGCAUCCAAUCAUAAACAGCAUUUAAAAAUGACAGUUCACAGUGACAAUGAAAGAUCGGAAUCUUGCGAUUCCUUCAUUAAUGAUCCUUCCGCAGGUUCACCUACGGAAA
This 131-nucleotide unclassified non-coding RNA is filed under the name uncultured fungus. RNAcentral describes it as "sequence contains ITS1". Lineage: Eukaryota; Fungi. The record is from RNAcentral.